UCAAGGAUUAAGCUAUGAAGC
RNAcentral lists this microRNA (21 nucleotides) under Arabidopsis lyrata. RNAcentral describes it as "aly-miR3438-5p". Lineage: Eukaryota; Viridiplantae; Streptophyta; Magnoliopsida; Brassicales; Brassicaceae. The record is from miRBase by way of RNAcentral.